GGAUGGUUAUCUCAACUGGAAGAGAGCUCGCCUUACACGCGAGAGGUUAGAAGUUCAAGUCUUCUACUAUCCA
This 73-nucleotide transfer RNA is filed under the name Caudoviricetes sp. RNAcentral's name for it is "tRNA-Val". It matches the Rfam family "tRNA". Rfam says of the family: Transfer RNA (tRNA) molecules are approximately 80 nucleotides in length. Their secondary structure includes four short double-helical elements and three loops (D, anti-codon, and T loops). Lineage: Duplodnaviria; Heunggongvirae; Uroviricota; Caudoviricetes. The record is from RNAcentral.